GGGCGUAUAGCUCAGCUGGUUAGAGCGCACGCCUGAUAAGCGUGAGGCCGGUGGUUCGAGUCCACUUAUGCCCACCA
This 77-nucleotide transfer RNA is filed under the name Fusibacter bizertensis. RNAcentral's name for it is "tRNA-Ile". It matches the Rfam family "tRNA". From Rfam's summary of the family: Transfer RNA (tRNA) molecules are approximately 80 nucleotides in length. Their secondary structure includes four short double-helical elements and three loops (D, anti-codon, and T loops). RNAcentral also lists the same sequence under 2 other names. Lineage: Bacteria; Bacillati; Bacillota; Clostridia; Eubacteriales; Fusibacteraceae. The record is from RNAcentral.